Molecule: ribosomal RNA, 163 nt
Filed under: Termitomyces bulborhizus
Lineage: Eukaryota; Fungi; Basidiomycota; Agaricomycetes; Agaricales; Lyophyllaceae
Description: 5.8S ribosomal RNA
Rfam family: 5.8S ribosomal RNA
About the family: 5.8S ribosomal RNA (5.8S rRNA) is a component of the large subunit of the eukaryotic ribosome. It is transcribed by RNA polymerase I as part of the 45S precursor that also contains 18S and 28S rRNA. Functionally, it is thought that 5.8S rRNA may be involved in ribosome translocation.
Source: RNAcentral
ACAACUUUCAGCAACGGAUCUCUUGGUUCUCGCAUCGAUGAAGAACGCAGCGAAUUGCGAUAAGUAAUGUGAAUUGCAGCCUCUGGGAAUGAGUUAAUCAUCGAAUCUUUGAACGCACCUUGCGCUCCUUGGUUUUCCGAGGAGCAUGCCUGUUUGAGUGUCA